AACGAACGUUGGCGGUGUGGAUUAGGCAUGCAAGUCGCGCGCGAAACCCUUCGGGGGAGUAAAGCGGCGAACGGGUGAGUAACACGUAAUCAACCUGCCCUCGAGACCAGAAUAGCUACUGGAAACGGUAGGUAAUGCUGGAUGGUCCCACUGAGAGGCAUCUCCUGGUGGGUAAACGGUGGCGCAAGCUGCUGCUCGGGGGAGGGGAUUGCGGCCUAUCAGCUAGUUGGUGAGGAAUGGCUCACCAAGGCGAUGACGGGUAGCUGGUCUGAGAGGAC
RNAcentral lists this ribosomal RNA (278 nucleotides) under uncultured bacterium. RNAcentral describes it as "partial 16S ribosomal RNA". It matches the Rfam family "Bacterial small subunit ribosomal RNA", at positions 29 to 301 of the family's 1533-position model. The record is from RNAcentral.